RNAcentral lists this ribosomal RNA (546 nucleotides) under uncultured fungus. Its description in RNAcentral is "eukaryotic LSU rRNA". The stretch from base 188 to 341 matches the Rfam family "5.8S ribosomal RNA". The record is from RNAcentral. Lineage: Eukaryota; Fungi.
AACAAGGUCUCCGUUGGUGAACCAGCGGAGGGAUCAUUACCGAGUUUACAACUCCCAAACCCCUGUGAACAUACCACUUGUUGCCUCGGCGGAUCAGCCCGCUCCCGGUAAAACGGGACGGCCCGCCAGAGGACCCCUAAACUCUGUUUCUAUAUGUAACUUCUGAGUAAAACCAUAAAUAAAUCAAAACUUUUAACAACGGAUCUCUUGGUUCUGGCAUCGAUGAAGAACGCAGCAAAAUGCGAUAAGUAAUGUGAAUUGCAGAAUUCAGUGAAUCAUCGAAUCUUUGAACGCACAUUGCGCCCGCCAGUAUUCUGGCGGGCAUGCCUGUUCGAGCGUCAUUUCAACCCUCAAGCACAGCUUGGUGUUGGGACUCGCGUUAAUUCGCGUUCCCCAAAUUGAUUGGCGGUCACGUCGAGCUUCCAUAGCGUAGUAGUAAAACCCUCGUUACUGGUAAUCGUCGCGGCCACGCCGUUAAACCCCAACUUCUGAAUGUUGACCUCGGAUCAGGUAGGAAUACCCGCUGAACUUAAGCAUAUCAAAACA